AAAUUUAGGUUAACUAUAAACCAAGGACCUUCAAAGCCCUAAAUAGGUAAAUUCCCCUAAUUUCUG
Molecule: transfer RNA, 66 nt
Filed under: Gekko mindorensis
Lineage: Eukaryota; Metazoa; Chordata; Lepidosauria; Squamata; Gekkonidae
Description: tRNA-Trp
Source: RNAcentral